Molecule: transfer RNA, 85 nt
Filed under: Flavimobilis marinus
Lineage: Bacteria; Bacillati; Actinomycetota; Actinomycetes; Micrococcales; Jonesiaceae
Description: tRNA-Ala
Source: RNAcentral
GCGCGAGCGGGCCGGCGACCCGUCCGUGGCAGGGACGGCCCCGGACGCUUCGUAGACUGGGACGAUCAUGACGUCCCUCGCGCCC